CCUCACCUUAUCAUAAUAUCCUCCCUGCCAUAUACACCCCCACCUUGUCAUAAUAUCCUCUCUGCCAUAUACACCCAUACCUUGUCUCAAUAACCUCCCUGCCAUAUACACCCCCGUCUUGUCAUAAUAUCCUCCCUGCCAUAUACACCCCUGCCUUGUCUCAAUAACCUCCCUGCCAUAUACACCCUCGCCUUAUCAUAAU
Pelobates cultripes (western spadefoot toad) is the source of this 202-nucleotide non-coding RNA. The record is from the annotation of a GenBank genome assembly. NCBI's taxonomy places the organism in Eukaryota, Metazoa, Chordata, Amphibia, Anura, Pelobatidae.